AGGUAACACAUGACUGUUAAAAUAACACUUAUUUAAUCAUUUUUUGUGUUUAUUCUUUUCUCCAUAUAGACUAUCUUAGGUGGUGUCUGGCAGUGAAGUUGGUGGCAGUUUGAAAAGAGGUACCCUCGGUCACCAAGACUUUGUUGGCCACCAGGGUACCAGAUAAUCAUCUUACCCAGCCAGACCAGCUCAGCAACCGCAGUUUUCGUGUCUGUACACCUCCUCCUCACUGCUGCAUCAUUGAUAAGAAACUCUCUCAGUAGACUUGACCAAAAAUCUUUCAGAGAUGAUCCAGACUGUACAAGCACAAGUUUACAAGUAAAGAAAGGACAAUCCUCAAAAAGAAAGUCUUGGAUUGUGGCCAACUGUCCUCCACUGAGAAUCAAAUCAGGUCUUUGCUGAGUUCUACAGAGUUGCCAGUAAGAACCUCAAGAAAGACUUCUACGAAGCUCUUGACCACCACGCCACUCGUCUCAUU
Amphiprion ocellaris (clown anemonefish) is the source of this 478-nucleotide long non-coding RNA. The record is from Ensembl. NCBI's taxonomy places the organism in Eukaryota, Metazoa, Chordata, Actinopteri, Pomacentridae.